UCUCUUUACCCGAGUGUCCAGAACAUAUGGUCGCAGGUCUGGUGAUACGAUUACAAAAUCGAUCAUCGACCUGCGGCCUAGAGCGUCCUGGUGCCACGUGCAAUUAUGGACACUCUUAUGUUCGAACAAGGUGUUCGUUAUGGCCAAACUGUGACUUGCACAGAAGUCCAAUAACAAAACAUCACUCGGAUUCAGAUCAGGGAGGCCGUUCCUCCCAAUCACGCCCCUCCAGGUCUCGCUGUUGUUACCCACAUGAGCAUUGAAGUCUCCCAGCAGGACAACAGAGUCUCCAGGUGGGGCACCUUCCAGCACCCCCCCCAGGGACUCUAAGAAGGCUGGGUACUCUGAACUGCCACUCGGCGCAUAAGCGCAGAUGACAGUCAGGACCUGUUCCCCGACCCUAAGGCGCAGGGAACAAACCCUCUCAUCCACCGGGAAAAACCCCAACGUACCGGCAGCAAGCCGAGGGGAUAUUAGAAUACCCACCCCAGCCCGCCGCCUCUCACCAGGGGCAACUCUAGACUGAGACAGAGUCCAGCCCCUCUUCAGAGGAGACUGGUUCCAGAGCCCAAGUCAUGCGUAGAGGUGAGCCCGACUAUAUCGAAAGGAGCCAGUUGAGGUGGUUCGGGCAUCUGACAAGGAUGCCUCCUGGGUGAGGUGUUCCGGGCAUGUCCCACCGGGAGGAGGCCCCGGGGCAGACCCAGGACACGCUGGAGAGUUAUAUCUCUCGGCUGGCCUGGGAACGCCUUGGUGUUCCCCCGGAAAAGCUGGAGGAGGUGGCUGGGGAGAGGGAGGUCUGGGCUUCUCUGCUUAGGCUGCUGCCCCCGCGACCCGGCCUCGGAUAAAGCGGAUGAAGAUGGAUGGAUGGAUGGAUGUUUCAGUGUGUCAGUAGAAGGUGUCCAGGUGUCUCUCUGUUAUUGGUGGAUCCAGUGGACGGACCAUACGGAUUGGCUAACGACCUGGAGACCACUUAUAUGAUGACACCGCCAUGGACGGCCAGUCAUUCAUCCUCGGCCCAUCCCAGCUGGCAGACUUUAUGUUCCCUGUGUAGUACUGUUUGUUUGACACAGGAGCAUGUAGGGGUGGACUACCCUUUUGUUUGAUUACAGUUUUCUCAUGUUUUUGUUAGUUAGAGAGGUAAGUUGCUGUUUUUCUUUUGAGUAGGUAAGUUUGAUUUAUCCUUGAGAUAGGCUCCUUUUGUUUAUUAUUUUGGCAUUAGGUCCACCCCGAAGUUAUAAUCCACUCUGUAAAUAAAUCACCAUCAAACUGUA
RNAcentral lists this long non-coding RNA (1271 nucleotides) under Oreochromis niloticus (Nile tilapia). Its description in RNAcentral is "lncRNA (ENSONIG00000028934.1)". The record is from RNAcentral. Lineage: Eukaryota; Metazoa; Chordata; Actinopteri; Cichliformes; Cichlidae.